UAGGUGAACCUGCUGCAGGAUCAUUACACACAUCUUGUUUCCCUUCUACACAAUCCGUCCCCUGGCGGGCACGUUGGGCCCUGAGGCCGUGCGUGAUUCCCACCGCUGGGUGCAUAGACGUGCAACGGCUGGGCUGGCGUCUGUGGGUCGUUGAGCAGUUGUAGUCCAUGUCCGUGGCUGUGAUGAUACGACUCGGUAGGGCUGUCAUGAGAUGUGGCAGCUUAAGACUUGAUGAGCUCAGAAAGAGCCGCCAGCACCCAUUUUUUUCACUACAAUUUUUUCAAGUGCGAAAGCACAACAAGUAUUCUAGCCUUAUCGGUGGAUCACUCGGCUCGUAGGUCGAUGAAGAACGCAGCCAGCUGCGAUAUAUAGUGUGAACUGCAGAAUCUUUGAACACUAAACAUUCGAAUGCACAUUGCGCCAUUGGAUUUGCGUCCUUUGGCACGCCUGGUUCAGGGUCGUUUACCGAAAAAGCAUAGCCUUUGCUUUCAACUUCUGCACCGUCAUUGCAUUUUGUUGGUGCAUUUUGCUCAUGCGCAUAGAGUCCACAUGGUCUCGUGUGCGUGCUCGCGGAUUUGUCAAUUUUUCACUCAACUGCCGUUGCGGUGGAACCCUCCGCGUUGCAUGCCGGGACUUGGGCACUCAUUCGUGCACAGCAUAUUGACUUCGACCUGAACUCAGACGUGAGUACCCGCUGAACUUAAGCAUAUCAGUAAGCGGAGGAAAAGAAACUAACGAGAAUUCCCUUUAUUAACGGCGAGUGAAAA
Molecule: ribosomal RNA, 767 nt
Filed under: Radopholoides japonicus
Lineage: Eukaryota; Metazoa; Nematoda; Chromadorea; Rhabditida; Pratylenchidae
Description: eukaryotic LSU rRNA
Rfam family: 5.8S ribosomal RNA (bases 308-461)
Source: RNAcentral